This 281-nucleotide unclassified non-coding RNA is filed under the name Hevea brasiliensis (rubber tree). Lineage: Eukaryota; Viridiplantae; Streptophyta; Magnoliopsida; Malpighiales; Euphorbiaceae. The record is from RNAcentral.
GCUGUCAGACUCUAAAGUUGUUUGAACUGUUCUUGUUAAUUUUGUAUAAUAGUGUGUUAAGAGGAUUACCGAAUGAACGCAGCUGUAGUCUUUAAUGGGAGGAUUGCAUUGACAAGAUUGAUUUAAAGCUCUGGCAUCAAAAGAACCUAUUCUCUUUUAUGAUGAGAUCAUCUUAUAUGAGGAUGAACUUGCUGAUAAUGGAGUCUCACUUUUAACAGUGAAAGUGAGAGUCAUGCCAAGUGGUUGGUUCUUGUUGCUGCGUUUAUGGAAAGGAUAUCCUU